Molecule: ribosomal RNA, 465 nt
Filed under: Vreelandella stevensii
Lineage: Bacteria; Pseudomonadati; Pseudomonadota; Gammaproteobacteria; Oceanospirillales; Halomonadaceae
Description: partial 16S ribosomal RNA
Rfam family: Bacterial small subunit ribosomal RNA
Source: RNAcentral
CCUACGGGAGGCAGCAGUGGGGAAUAUUGGACAAUGGGGGGAACCCUGAUCCAGCCAUGCCGCGUGUGUGAAGAAGGCCCUCGGGUUGUAAAGCACUUUCAGUGAGGAAGAACGCCUGGUGGUUAAUACCCAUCAGGAAAGACAUCACUCACAGAAGAAGCACCGGCUAACUCCGUGCCAGCAGCCGCGGUAAUACGGAGGGUGCGAGUGUUAAUCGGAAUUACUGGGCGUAAAGCGCGCGUAGGUGGCUUGAUAAGCCGGUUGUGAAAGCCCCGGGCUCAACCUGGGAACGGCAUCCGGAACUGUCAAGCUAGAGUGCAGGAGAGGAAGGUAGAAUUCCCGGUGUAGCGGUGAAAUGCGUAGAGAUCGGGAGGAAUACCAGUGGCGAAGGCGGCCUUCUGGACUGACACUGACACUGAGGUGCGAAAGCGUGGGUAGCAAACAGGAUUGGAUACCCCAGUAGUC